Molecule: ribosomal RNA, 635 nt
Filed under: Haemophilus influenzae
Lineage: Bacteria; Pseudomonadati; Pseudomonadota; Gammaproteobacteria; Pasteurellales; Pasteurellaceae
Description: bacterial SSU rRNA
Rfam family: Bacterial small subunit ribosomal RNA
Source: RNAcentral
ACUUGAAUUGAAGAGUUUGAUCAUGGCUCAGAUUGAACGCUGGCGGCAGGCUUAACACAUGCAAGUCGAACGGUAGCAGGAGAAAGCUUGCUUUCUUGCUGACGAGUGGCGGACGGGUGAGUAAUGCUUGGGAAUCUGGCUUAUGGAGGGGGAUAACGACGGGAAACUGUCGCUAAUACCGCGUAUUAUCGGAAGAUGAAAGUGCGGGACUGAGAGGCCGCAUGCCAUAGGAUGAGCCCAAGUGGGAUUAGGUAGUUGGUGGGGUAAAUGCCUACCAAGCCUGCGAUCUCUAGCUGGUCUGAGAGGAUGACCAGCCACACUGGAACUGAGACACGGUCCAGACUCCUACGGGAGGCAGCAGUGGGGAAUAUUGCGCAAUGGGGGGAACCCUGACGCAGCCAUGCCGCGUGAAUGAAGAAGGCCUUCGGGUUGUAAAGUUCUUUCGGUAUUGAGGAAGGUUGAUGUGUUAAUAGCACAUCAAAUUGACGUUAAAUACAGAAGAAGCACCGGCUAACUCCGUGCCAGCAGCCGCGGUAAUACGGAGGGUGCGAGCGUUAAUCGGAAUAACUGGGCGUAAAGGGCACGCAGGCGGUUAUUUAAGUGAGGUGUGAAAGCCCUGGGCUUAACCUAGGAAU